This 253-nucleotide ribosomal RNA is filed under the name uncultured bacterium. RNAcentral describes it as "partial 16S ribosomal RNA". It matches the Rfam family "Bacterial small subunit ribosomal RNA", at positions 524 to 776 of the family's 1533-position model. The record is from RNAcentral.
UACGGGGGGGGCAAGCGUUGUUCGAAAUUACUGAGCGUAAAGGGCUCGUAGGCGGCCAACUAAGUCGGACGUGAAAUCCCCAGGCUCAACCUGGGAACUGCGUCCGAUACUGGAUGGCUUGAAUCCGGGAGAGGGAUGCAGAAUUCCAGGUGUAGCGGUGAAAUGCGUAGAUAUCUGGAGGAAUACCGGUGGCGAAGGCGGCAUCCUGGACCGGCAUUGACGCUGAGGAGCGAAAGCCAGGGGAGCAAACGGG